UACGUAGGUCCCGAGCGUUGUCCGGAUUUAUUGGGCGUAAAGCGAGCGCAGGUGGUUUAUUAAGUCUGGUGUAAAAGGCAGUGGCUCAACCCCCGGACUGCUCUGGAAACUAUGUUACUAGAGUGCAGGAGAGGUAAGCGGAAUUCCUAGUGUAGCGGUGAAAUGCGUAGAUAUUAGGAGGAACACCAGUGGCGAAGGCGGCUUACUGGACUGUAACUGACGUUGAGGCUCGAAAGCGUGGGGAGCAAACAGG
RNAcentral lists this ribosomal RNA (253 nucleotides) under uncultured bacterium. Its description in RNAcentral is "partial 16S ribosomal RNA". It matches the Rfam family "Bacterial small subunit ribosomal RNA", at positions 524 to 776 of the family's 1533-position model. The record is from RNAcentral.